This is a transfer RNA of Camelus ferus (Wild Bactrian camel), 72 nucleotides long. It matches the Rfam family "tRNA". Rfam says of the family: Transfer RNA (tRNA) molecules are approximately 80 nucleotides in length. Their secondary structure includes four short double-helical elements and three loops (D, anti-codon, and T loops). NCBI's taxonomy places the organism in Eukaryota, Metazoa, Chordata, Mammalia, Artiodactyla, Camelidae. The record is from Rfam.
GAGGGUACGGCUCAGUGGUAGAGCACGUGCUUAAAAUGCAUGAGGUCAUGGGUUCAAUCCCCAGUACUUCCA